This is a long non-coding RNA of Chroicocephalus ridibundus (black-headed gull), 375 nucleotides long. RefSeq lists it as uncharacterized. The record is from RefSeq and is a predicted model, not a curated record. Lineage: Eukaryota; Metazoa; Chordata; Aves; Charadriiformes; Laridae. The transcript has 3 exons.
CAGUCUUGCAAGGCAAGGGCUGACGUGUGCAGCUGACAGAACGGCAGAGUGAGGGGAAAUAGAGGAGGCUUGUUUCUCCCUCCUGGCUGCACCUGACUCUACUUAGGGCCCCUGUGGUAAAAAGUGCCAUUUGGGGGAAGGGAUCUCUCACAGUGAAGGCCAGACACUGCUGCUCCCAGAGAAGUAUGUGCCCAAAACAGAAGAGCUGGUCACUUGGGAAGAACUGCCUUUUGUAGUAGCUGACGGUCAUAGAGCCCAUUUGUGUCCCAAGGCUCAAGGUCCAUCGUCUUUUGCCCUGGAGCUGACUCUGUGACUCCUAUAUUAGAAAUGAAUGGCAUAAAGAGCUCUCACCCAGAACCCAUUGCCUAAGUCAUG